UCGAAACAAAGUAGUAUUACUGGAAAGUAUUUCUGAA
Molecule: ribosomal RNA, 37 nt
Filed under: Gammarus sp. 2125
Lineage: Eukaryota; Metazoa; Arthropoda; Malacostraca; Amphipoda; Gammaridae
Description: partial 12S ribosomal RNA
Source: RNAcentral